This 1445-nucleotide ribosomal RNA is filed under the name uncultured organism. RNAcentral's name for it is "SSU rRNA". It matches the Rfam family "Bacterial small subunit ribosomal RNA". The record is from RNAcentral.
AACGCUAGCUACAGGCUUAACACAUGCAAGUCGAGGGGCAGCAUUUUAGUUUGCUUGCAAACUAAAGAUGGCGACCGGCGCACGGGUGAGUAACACGUAUCCAACCUGCCGAUAACUCGGGGAUAGCCUUUCGAAAGAAAGAUUAAUAUCCGAUAGUAUAUUAAAACCGCAUGGUUUUACUAUUAAAGAAUUUCGGUUAUCGAUGGGGAUGCGUUCCAUUAGUUUGUUGGCGGGGUAACGGCCCACCAAGACUACGAUGGAUAGGGGUUCUGAGAGGAAGGUCCCCCACAUUGGAACUGAGACACGGUCCAAACUCCUACGGGAGGCAGCAGUGAGGAAUAUUGGUCAAUGGACGAGAGUCUGAACCAGCCAAGUAGCGUGAAGGAUGACUGCCCUAUGGGUUUUAAACUUCUUUUAUAUGGGAAUAAAGUAUUCCACGUGUGGAAUUUUGUAUGUACCAUAUGAAUAAGGAUCGGCUAACUCCGUGCCAGCAGCCGCGGUAAUACGGAGGAUCCGAGCGUUAUCCGGAUUUAUUGGGUUUAAAGGGAGCGUAGGUGGAUUGUUAAGUCAGUUGUGAAAGUUUGCGGCUCAACCGUAAAAUUGCAGUUGAAACUGGCAGUCUUGAGUACAGUAGAGGUGGGCGGAAUUCGUGGUGUAGCGGUGAAAUGCUUAGAUAUCACGAAGAACUCCGAUUGCGAAGGCAGCUCACUAGACUGCAACUGACACUGAUGCUCGAAAGUGUGGGUAUCAAACAGGAUUAGAUACCCUGGUAGUCCACACAGUAAACGAUGAAUACUCGCUGUUUGCGAUAUACAGUAAGCGGCCAAGCGAAAGCAUUAAGUAUUCCACCUGGGGAGUACGCCGGCAACGGUGAAACUCAAAGGAAUUGACGGGGGCCCGCACAAGCGGAGGAACAUGUGGUUUAAUUCGAUGAUACGCGAGGAACCUUACCCGGGCUUAAAUUGCAUUUGAAUAAUCUGGAAACAGGUUAGCCGCAAGGCAAAUGUGAAGGUGCUGCAUGGUUGUCGUCAGCUCGUGCCGUGAGGUGUCGGCUUAAGUGCCAUAACGAGCGCAACCCUUAUCUUUAGUUACUAACAGGUCAUGCUGAGGACUCUAGAGAGACUGCCGUCGUAAGAUGUGAGGAAGGUGGGGAUGACGUCAAAUCAGCACGGCCCUUACGUCCGGGGCUACACACGUGUUACAAUGGGGGGUACAGAAGGCAGCUACCUGGCGACAGGAUGCUAAUCCCAAAAACCUCUCUCAGUUCGGAUCGAAGUCUGCAACCCGACUUCGUGAAGCUGGAUUCGCUAGUAAUCGCGCAUCAGUCAUGGCGCGGUGAAUACGUUCCCGGGCCUUGUACACACCGCCCGUCAAGCCAUGAAAGCCGGGGGUACCUGAAGUACGUAACCGCAAGGAGCGUCCUAGGGUAAAACUGGUAAUUGGGG